GUAGGGAAUAUUGGACAAUGGGGGGAACCCUGAUCCAGCCAUGCCGCGUGGAGGAAGACUGCCCUCUGGGUUGUAAACUCCUUUUAUAUGGGAAGAACCGUCCUCAUUAAUGAGUGACCUGACGGUACCAUAGGAAUAAGCACCGGCUAACUCCGUGCCAGCAGCCGCGGUAAUACGGAGGGUGCAAGCGUUAUCCGGAUUCACUGGGUUUAAAGGGUGCGUAGGCGGAUAAAUAAGUCAGUGGUGAAAUCAACGGGCUCAACCUGUUAACUGCCAUUGAUACUGUGUAUCUUGAAUAUGAGAGAGGUAGGCGGAAUGUUGCAUGUAGCGGUGAAAUGCUUAGAUAUGCUACGGAACACCGAUUGCGAAGGCAGCUUACUAUUUCGUAAUUGACGCUGAGGCACGAAAGCGUGGCUAGCGAACAGGAUUAGAAACCCCAGUAGUCC
This 446-nucleotide ribosomal RNA is filed under the name uncultured bacterium. RNAcentral describes it as "bacterial SSU rRNA". It matches the Rfam family "Bacterial small subunit ribosomal RNA", at positions 354 to 796 of the family's 1533-position model. The record is from RNAcentral.